RNAcentral lists this transfer RNA (82 nucleotides) under Blattella germanica (German cockroach). Its description in RNAcentral is "tRNA-Leu (TAG) (tRNA-Leu-TAG-11-1)". It matches the Rfam family "tRNA". From Rfam's summary of the family: Transfer RNA (tRNA) molecules are approximately 80 nucleotides in length. Their secondary structure includes four short double-helical elements and three loops (D, anti-codon, and T loops). Lineage: Eukaryota; Metazoa; Arthropoda; Insecta; Blattodea; Blattellidae. The record is from RNAcentral.
GGUAGCGUUGCCGAGUGGUCUAAGGCGCUGGUUUUAGGCACCAGUCUCUCCGGAGGCAUGGGUUCGAAUCCCACCGCUGCCA